UUAAACAUGCUAACAACCUUUCCAAUUAAAAAAAAACACAUCACCACCGAAUAUCCUCCUACCCUACCUACCCACGUAACCCCUAUCCACUUUUAUUUUACACGCUAUUUCUAUAUAUAGAGGAGGACAGAAAUAGAAAAAGAGGUCAUCUUCUUCACCAAAAAAUUCACCUCACGCCAUAUACACCACCCUCGAAGAAAUUACAUCACAACGACACACAAUUAACGCACAUAACAGUAACACAGAUCUGAGAUUCUCCAUUUCUUUCAUUCUAAUAAUCCUUCAUUUUCAUCCAUACCCAUCGACGCACAUAUACACACAGCUAAAGGGAAGGACACAGUGAGGGACCAAGAGAGAUAGGAAAAAUGAGAGAAUUAGUAGAAAAAUGGGAGGGAGCUGAUCGAAAUUGAGAAAAACAGACGAGGGAGAGAGUGAACGCAAACAUCGAAGAAAGAAAACUAAUCGAAAAACGUGACGCUGGCUGGAAAAAUCACACCCUCACUCUCGUCCUCCAUUGUUCUAGCCGAAAUAAUGGGACCAGUGAGAAACACCCCAAAAUUCGAUCAAAAUCCAACCUAACCCGAGUCUCUCUGCCAUCGCUUGAGCUCAUCGGAGCUCCUGUGAAUCGGGAACGGUGAACCCUACUUCGAUUCUUGUGAAUUCUGCUGGAAAAGAGUGAAACAGGGUCGAGUUGCACAAAAUCGGGUUCGGGUUUGUCUAUUUUUGGCGAUUUCUGUUUUGGGUCAAUAGAAAAUUAAAAAAAAAUGCAUACCGGAGCUGGGGUUCGAAUAGAGGCUCCGAAUCGAGGUUCUUCAUCGCCGAUUCUGUCCUUUUAUUGAAGUAUUAUUGAAUUUCAAGAUCUUCGAAUCGAGGAAACAUGCUACCUUUAAAUCAAGGAAUUCAGAGCAUAAAUAUCGAGGGUUGCAAUGCCUCAUUCCUACAAAUGCAGGAAACAAUAUUGAUGUACAGGUUUGAUAAUCAAAUCAUAGUAAAAUUCAUCAUCAUAUAUUUUUCAGAGACACACUUUCUUGUCUAGGGAUUUCAGUUUUCAUUUGUUAGGGGAUACACUUCUUAAAUUGAACCUUGAUUCCUAUAAGACGUACCUUUUAGUCUAGUUAUUUUAAUUAAUUCCUAUAAGACGUACCUUUUAGUCGAGUCAUUCCCCUUGAUUCCUAUAAGACGUACCUUUUAGUCGAGUCAUUCCUUUUGAUUCCUAUAAGACGUAACUUUUAGUCUAGUCAUCCCCCUUGAUUCCUAAGACUUACCUUUUAGUCGAGUCAUCCCCUGUGAUUUCUAUAAGACGUACCUUUUAGUCAAGUCAUUCUCCUUGAUCCCUAGAAGAUGUACCUUUUAGUUGAGUCGUUCCUUUGAUUCCUAUAAGGCUUACCUUUUAGUCGAGUCAUUCCCCUUGACCCCUAGAAGACGUACCUUUUAGUCGAGUCAUUCCUUUGAUUCCUAUAAGAUGUACCUUUUAGUCGAGUCAUUCCCGUGGACCUCUAGAAGACGUACCUUUUAGUCGAGUCGUUCCUUUGAUUCCUAUAAGACGUACCUUUUAGUCGAGUCAUUCCCCUUGACCCCUAGAAGACGUAUCUUUUAGUCAAGUCGUUUCUUUAAUUCCUAUAUAACGUACCUUUUAUUCGAGUCAUUCCCCUUGACCCUUAGAAGACGUACCUUUUAGUCGAGUCAUUUCCUUUGAUUCCUAUAAGAUGUACCUUUUAGUCGAGUCAUUCCCCUUGACCCCUAGAAGAUGUACCUUUUAGUCGAGUCGUUCCUUUGAUUCCUAUAAGACGUACUUUUUAGUCGAGUCAUUCCCCUUGACCCCUAGAAGACGUACCUUUUAGUCGAGUCAUUCCCUAUGAUUCCUAUAAGAUGUACCUUUUAGUCGAUUCAUUUCCCUUGAUUCCUAUAAGACGUACCUUUUAGUCGAGUCAUUCCCCUUGAUUCCUAUAAGACGUACCUUUUAGUUGAGUUAUUUCCUUUGAUUCCUAUAAGACGUACCUUUUAGUUGAAUCAUUCCCCUUGACCCCUAGAAGACGUCCCUUUUAGUCGAGUCAUUCUCCUUGACCCCUAGAAGACGUACCUUUUAGUCGAGUCGUUCCUUUGAUUCCUAUAAGACGUACCUUUUAGUCAAGUCAUUCCCCUUGAACCCUAGAAGACGUACCUUUUAGUCGAGUCAUUCCUUUGAUUCCUAUAAAACGUACCUUUUAGUCGAGUCAUUUCCUUUGAUUCCUAUAAGACGUACCUUUUAGUCGAGUCAUCUCCUUUGAUUCCUAUAAGACAUACCUUUUAGUCGAAUCAUUCCAAUUAACUUAUAGAAGAUGUAUUUCUUUGUAUGGGAUAAUUUUUUUCUUAGUUUUGAUGUGAUUUUAGGAGCCCGCUUGAAGAACAGGGCUAAUACAUGGAAAGUCAACCAACAAGGUGAAGCAAUUGAAAAGCAAGCAACAAGAGGAAGAAAAUUGAAAGUCAACAGUUGAAAAAUGGCAAGUCAGAAACCCGCCUAAAGAACAGGGUGAAGAAAUUGAAAGGCAAGCAACAAGUUGAAGAAAUUACAAGUCAGGAGCCCACCUGAAGAACAGGGUGAUGAAGUAAUGAGUCAGGAGUCAAGGAAACCUGCAUAGAUAGAGUUUUUGUAAUUUCAUUUAUUUUUUAACUUGUAAUGUUCAUUUCUGAUGUAAUAACAGAUCCGCGGAUCGGAACCUUGACGGGACCUCACUCGACUCUCCAACUCGGUUGUCCUUCUUCCUU
This is an RNA transcript of Capsicum annuum, 2745 nucleotides long. RefSeq lists it as uncharacterized. The record is from RefSeq and is a predicted model, not a curated record. Lineage: Eukaryota; Viridiplantae; Streptophyta; Magnoliopsida; Solanales; Solanaceae. The transcript has 2 exons.